AGAGUUUGAUCAUGGCUCAGAACGAACGUUAGCGGCGCGCCUAACACAUGCAAGUCGCACGAGAAAGGGCUUCGGCCCCGGUACAGUGGCGCACGGGUGAGUAACACGUGGGUAACCUGCCCUCGAGCGGGGGAUAACAUUCCGAAAGGAGUGCUAAUACCGCAUAAGACCACGGCCUCGAAAGAGGACGAGGUAAAAGCUGGCCUCUAUACAUAAGCUAGCACUUGAGGAUGGGCCCGCGGCGCAUCAGGUAGUUGGUGAGGUAACGGCUCACCAAGCCAAAGACGCGUAGCUGGUCUGAGAGGAUGAUCAGCCACACUGGAACUGAGACACGGUCCAGACUCCUACGGGAGGCAGCAGUGGGGAAUCUUGCGCAAUGGGCGAAAGCCUGACGCAGCGACGCCGCGUGAGUGAUGAAGGCCUUCGGGUUGUAAAGCUCUGUGGGGCGAGACGAAUAAGUGCAGCCUAAUACGUUGCAUGAUGACGGUAUCGCCUUAGCAAGCACCGGCUAACUCUGUGCCAGCAGCCGCGGUA
This 534-nucleotide ribosomal RNA is filed under the name uncultured Pseudomonadota bacterium. RNAcentral's name for it is "bacterial SSU rRNA". It matches the Rfam family "Bacterial small subunit ribosomal RNA", at positions 8 to 522 of the family's 1533-position model. The record is from RNAcentral. Lineage: Bacteria; Pseudomonadati; Pseudomonadota.